GACGAACGCUGGCGGCGUGCUUAACACAUGCAAGUCGAACGGAAAGGCCCCUUUGGGGGUACUCGAGAGGCGAACGGGUGAGUAACACGUGAGUAACCUGCCCUUGACUUCGGGAUAACUUCCGGAAACUGGGGCUAAUACCGGAUAGGAAUCCUUGCUGCAUGGUGGGGGUUGGAAAGCUUCGGCGGUUUUGGAUGGACUCGCGGCUUAUCAGCUUGUUGGUGGGGUAGUGGCUUACCAAGGCUUUGACGGGUAGCCGGCCUGAGAGGGCGACCGGCCACAUUGGGACUGAGAUACGGCCCAGACUCCUACGGGAGGCAGCAGUGGGGAAUAUUGCACAAUGGGCGGAAGCCUGAUGCAGCAACGCCGCGUGCGGGAUGACGGCCUUCGGGUUGUAAACCGCUUUCAGCAGGGGCGAAGCUUGUGGUGACGGUACCUGCAGAAGAAGCACCGGCUAACUACGUG
This 465-nucleotide ribosomal RNA is filed under the name uncultured bacterium. Its description in RNAcentral is "partial 16S ribosomal RNA". It matches the Rfam family "Bacterial small subunit ribosomal RNA", at positions 28 to 507 of the family's 1533-position model. The record is from RNAcentral.